RNAcentral lists this ribosomal RNA (795 nucleotides) under uncultured bacterium. RNAcentral describes it as "bacterial SSU rRNA". It matches the Rfam family "Bacterial small subunit ribosomal RNA", at positions 564 to 1358 of the family's 1533-position model. The record is from RNAcentral.
AGAGCUCGUAGGCGGUUUGUCGCGUCUGCCGUGAAAGUCCGGGGCUUAACUCCGGAUCUGCGGUGGGUACGGGCAGACUAGAGUGCAGUAGGGGAGACUGGAAUUCCUGGUGUAGCGGUGAAAUGCGCAGAUAUCAGGGGAACACCGAUGGCGAAGGCAGGUCUCUGGGCUGUAACUGACGCUGAGGAGCGAAAGCAUGGGGAGCGAACAGGAUUAGAUACCCUGGUAGUCCAUGCCGUAAACGUUGGCACUAGGUGUGGGGGACAUUCCACGUUUUCCGCGCCGUAGCUAACGCAUUAAGUGCCCCGCCUGGGGAGUACGGCCGCAAGGCUAAAACUCAAAGGAAUUGACGGGGGCCCGCACAAGCGGCGGAGCAUGCGGAUUAAUUCGAUGCAACGCGAAGAACCUUACCAAGGCUUGACAUGAACCGGAAUGAUGCAGAGAUGUGUCAGCCACUUGUGGCCGGUUUACAGGUGGUGCAUGGUUGUCGUCAGCUCGUGUCGUGAGAUGUUGGGUUAAGUCCCGCAACGAGCGCAACCCUCGUUCCAUGUUGCCAGCGGGUUAUGCCGGGGACUCAUGGGAGACUGCCGGGGUCAACUCGGAGGAAGGUGGGGACGACGUCAAAUCAUCAUGCCCCUUAUGUCUUGGGCUUCACGCAUGCUACAAUGGCCGGUACAAAGGGUUGCGAUACUGUGAGGUGGAGCUAAUCCCAAAAAGCCGGUCUCAGUUCGGAUUGAGGUCUGCAACUCGACCUCAUGAAGUUGGAGUCGCUAAUAAUCGCAGAUCAGCAACGCU